RNAcentral lists this long non-coding RNA (2880 nucleotides) under Brassica napus (rape). RNAcentral describes it as "long non-coding RNA (BNAP_LNC019694)". The record is from RNAcentral. Lineage: Eukaryota; Viridiplantae; Streptophyta; Magnoliopsida; Brassicales; Brassicaceae.
UCUUCUCCAUUGACGCAUCCUUCGAUCUGUGCUUGAGCUCUCUCCAUCUCUCUCGAUCUCGACCCCUCUCUCCAUCUCUCUCGAUCUCGACAAAAACCCAUCUCUUCUCACUCUCGAAUCUCUUCAUCGACCUCUCUGGUCUCAGCCUCUCUCCAUCUCUCUCCUCUCAGCUCUCCCUCUCGACGACCCUCUCAAGCUCGACCUCUCAGGCUCUCCCUCUCUGGACAACCCUCUAAAGCUCAUACCCUCUCCGAACUACUGGCUCUCGAGGAUUUGUGUUACCUUCAAGGAGUGUUGUUACUCUCAUAACUCUGAAGGGUAAGCUCAUUUCGGAUCUCAUGUUUCUGCUAUGUCCAUGUUUUUGUUGUUGAGACUAAUUUGGGGAACAAUCUUUGCUUCAGGUGCGUGAGAUGUUUGCAGCAAGUGGAUAUUGAGUACAAGUCAUUGAAGGCAAAGCUUCAGGAUUUGUUCAAUGUAAGUGACAAAAGGAUUAUUAGAAACUGUGAAAGAAACAUAGUUUUUUUCUUUUGAAUUCAUUCAUGAAUGAUUCUUGUAUUGUUUGUUGCAGCUUGAGCAGCAGAUUGUCCAAGUUACAGAAGCUCUUUGUUUCCAGAUAGUGAAGGUGUUGGAUUUCGUUGCAAAGAAAGAAAGUCUGCAACUGCCCCACGGUUUUACAGCAUUACAAGUACUUCUAGGUAACAUCCGAGAAGCAUUACAAGUUAUCUGUCUCUGUGUUCCAUGAUCUAUGAUUCUGUUUAUUUGUUUCUUGAUUUCGUGAUGCUGGUUCCUGUGAUGCCUAGCUGUUGACUGUUGCUAUUGCAAAUGUAUGUCAUUUCUCUGAUAGCUCACACUACCUUUUGUGUUCUGAUAUAUAUUCUAAAACAUUGAUGCUAGUGAUGGUCUGAUAACUCAAUUGAUUACUUGUGUCUGAUAACUCAAAUGAUUACUUUCGUAAGCUUCCUUUCUUCUGUUGAUGGAUUUAUGAUGAUUACUGCCGUUGAACUUGUACUGUCUGAUAAGCUUUCUUUCCAAGUGGUUUUAAGUCACAAAACGUGUACUGUCAUUUGCCAGCUCUAAAGGUCUGUUGAUUGUGAAGUUGUAAGGUCUUCAUGUUCUCAUAGCAUAGAUGAUAACUUCAUGUUCUCAUUGCUUCUUCUUUCUGCUUUUUUUUUGCAGGUCUCAGGCUCGCAAGCUCAAACCCUCUCCAAGCUCACUCUCUCGAUGGCAAUAGAUGUAAGCUCAGAUCCUUCUUCUUUGCAUUUGUGUAUAGAAAUGUCUUUAGGUUGUAUGGAACUUGAGUUUGUGUAUAGAAAUGUCUUUAGAUUGAAUGGAACUUGAGUUUAUGUGUAUAGAACUGUGUUUAGGUUGUAUGGAACUUGAGUUUAUGAGUUUAUAAAUGGAACUUGCUGUAUGUGUUUUGCUUUAGACUUGGAAACCUGAGGAAACUAGAUAUUUUUUCGAACUCUAUGCAGAAGAGAGAAGAAAAGGAAAUAAGGCUGGUAUAUCAAUGAAUAAAGUGGGGAAAGCAAACAUUAUGGAGGCGUUUGAACAACGGUUUAAGAAGAAUUUACCUGAUUGGAAGCCCUACAAGAGCAAGUACGACACCAGUAGGAAGAAAUACAUCAAGAUUAAGACGCUGACUCAAAACGGGACAGGGCUUGGGUUUGAUGACAUGGGAAGGAUUGACAUGUCAGAUGAUUGGUGGAGUGAACGCGAAAGGGUCAGUUUCACAUUAUUCUCUCUUCAGUUUCACAUUUUACUAUAUAGCAUAAUGAUAAUAAGCAGCUUAUAUUACAUUUUUUUCUCUGUUAAUGGCAUUGCUAUCACUAACUUACUCUUUGUUUUUUGCUGUAUAGGAGUGUCCUGGGAUUAGAAGAUCCGUAUGCAAAGAGAUUAGUAACAUGGAUAUGUUUGAAGCGGAAUUUGGUGGUGUAGUAGUAACUGGAGCUGAAGGAUGGAGCGCUCAACAUGGAGAAGCCAGUUUGAACUCUAGAGUGGGUGAAGAUGAUGGUGAUGAUGAAGCUGAUUCUCAGUCAGCAGCAGAAACUCAAGCAUUGGAGACAGAAACACAGCCACAAGCCCCACGCCAAACUCAGCCAUCGACUCAGACUCAUUCUGGAAGUUCAAGAGCAAAAAGAAGGCGUAAGGAGAAAGACAUGGUUGUAGAAGCUUGUGUGAAACGGACUGAAAGUAUUUUGAAUAACAAUCUGAACAUACAUUAACAAAAAUAAGUAAAUAAUCAUUUGAUUCAGUUGUGUUUUUGUAUCUGUUAGGUACUUACAUGAUAUCUAUAUCUAUAUUGAAUAUUCGUAGGUAAGUACUAAAACCAUAGUGCUGUUUGUUUGGUUGCCGCAGGUACCUGCGUCGGCGUCGGCAUCAAUUUUUUAAAAUAAUCUUGUUCGUUUCGUUGACACGCCGGUACUGCGUCUGCGUUCUCGCAUCAGACGCCAAAAAAAUCUGCGUCGUGCGAUAAAAAGUCAGCGUCUGAGGUUUGUUUUACACAUAUACCCUUAAUGUUUUUCAUUAUUUACGUAACCCUAAUUCAAUUUAAACGCGGCUUUACCUUUUUGACGCAGCCUUCGGAUAUCUCGUCUCAGCCUCUUCUCCAUUGAGGCAUCCUUCGAUCUGUGCUUGAGCUCUCUCCAUCUCUCUCGAUCUCGACGAAAACCCAUCUCUUCUCACUCUUGAAUCUCUUCAUCGACCUCUCUGGUCUCAGCCUCUCUCCAUCUCUCUCGUCUCAGCUCUCCCUCUCUACGACCCUCUCAAGCUCGACCUCUCAGGCUCUCCCUCUUUGGACAACGCUCUGAAGCUCAGACCCUCUCAGAACUACUGGCUCUCGAGGAUUUGUGUUACCUUCAAGGAGUGUUGUUACUCUCAUAA